UACGAAGGGGGCUAGCGUUGCUCGGAAUCACUGGGCGUAAAGCGCACGUAGGCGGACUCUUAAGUCGGGGGUGAAAUCCUGGAGCUCAACUCCAGAACUGCCUUCGAUACUGGGAGUCUUGAGUUCGGGAGAAGUGAGUGGAACUGCGAGUGUAGAGGUGAAAUUCGUAGAUAUUCGCAAGAACACCAGUGGCGAAGGCGGCUCACUGGCCCGAUACUGACGCUGAGGUGCGAAAGCGUGGGGAGCAAACAGGG
This 254-nucleotide ribosomal RNA is filed under the name uncultured bacterium. Its description in RNAcentral is "partial 16S ribosomal RNA". It matches the Rfam family "Bacterial small subunit ribosomal RNA", at positions 524 to 777 of the family's 1533-position model. The record is from RNAcentral.